AUUGAACGCUGGCGGCAUGCCUUACACAUGCAAGUCGAACGGCAGCACGGGUGCUUGCCCCUGGUGGCGAGUGGCGAACGGGUGAGUAAUACAUCGGAACAUGUCCUGUAGUGGGGGAUAGCCCGGCGAAAGCCGGAUUAAUACCGCAUACGAUCUACGGAUGAUAGCGGGGGACCUUCGGGCCUCGCGCUAUAGGGUUGGCCGAUGGCUGUUUACCUAGUUGGGGGGGUACAGGCCUACCAAGGCGACGAUCAGUAGCUGAUCUGAGAGGACGACCAGCCACACUGGGACUGAGACACGGCCCAGACUCCUACGGGAGGCAGCAGUGGGGAAUUUUGGACAAUGGGCGAAAGCCUGAUCCAGCAAUGCCGCGUGUGUGAAGAAGGCCUUCGGGUUGUAAAGCACUUUUGUCCGGAAAGAAAUCCUUGGCUCUAAUACAGUCGGGGGAUGACGGUACCGGAAGAAUAAGCACCGGCUAACUACGUG
This 486-nucleotide ribosomal RNA is filed under the name uncultured bacterium. RNAcentral's name for it is "partial 16S ribosomal RNA". It matches the Rfam family "Bacterial small subunit ribosomal RNA", at positions 30 to 507 of the family's 1533-position model. The record is from RNAcentral.